Molecule: long non-coding RNA, 1442 nt
Filed under: Coturnix japonica (Japanese quail)
Lineage: Eukaryota; Metazoa; Chordata; Aves; Galliformes; Phasianidae
Description: lncRNA (ENSCJPG00005014731.1)
Source: RNAcentral
AGGUCUCAUAGAAUAAUAAAGGCAUCCCCUAAAAUAGAAAGAGCAACAGUAACAUAAAACACUCAUCGUGCUUUCAGUGUGAAGUGAGAAUUUGCACUCCUAAUCUCCCACAUUGGGUCUGGGGCCUGAAUAGCGUUUCUGUUUUCCCUUCAGCUGACCUAAUGACAGAUCUGAAGAAGUGUCAACACUGCAACUGAAAAAGCUCGAAGCAGCAGGAAUGUCGUUCGCAGGGGAGAUGGGAGUCAUAGCAAAUACACUUUUCAGGGCUGGUUACUCCUGACUAAUGGCAUGCCGUUUUCAGCAAGUAAAGCCAAAACCUUGUCCACAGGCAGCAGCACGCUCCAGAUGAGUCCCAUGCCUACUCUGAGCAGCAGCAGAUUAGGUAAUGUUGCUUCCCUAUGGCUGGCUCCUCUCUCCUGCCGUCAACCCUGAUUCAGGCUUGUGUAUUUGCUUUAGGUAGAGGCCAACAUCACCCACGGCCAAGAAAUCUAGCCUAGUUCAUGAUGGCUAUAUGCACUGUAUGGCUGUGGUGAGGUAUUGGAACAGGCUGCCCAGGGAGGUGGUGGGAUCACCAUCCCUGCAGGUCUUUAAGGAAAAGACAGACAUAGCACUGAAUGACAUGGAUAGUGAGCAGGGUGACAAUGGUUUGAUGGUCGGACUAGAUGGUCUUUGUGACCUUUUCCAGCCUUAAUGAUUCUGUGUUCUCUAUUGUCAGGAGCGAAUUCAUCUUUUGUGACUUUAUCUUCUGAAAGAAAUAGCGGAAGAACAGAAAUUCAAUCUGCUGCAUGGAGGUAUCAAAUGUUUUCUGUGAUGUGUUCGCCAGAAAGAGACAGGUUUGCAAAGUGCCCUUUUCUUGCUCCCAGAACAGAAAGUGCUUAAACACAUCCUCAACUGCCAAGCUUUCUUUGGAAAAGAGCCGUAACUCUGUAUCUUCGUACUAAGAAACUGAGAACAUUGAGGCAUUUCUAAUCCUACCAACUGUUGAUAUCAAGGUAGGAACCCCAACAUCAUCUCUCUGCGUCUUGGAUGCCCGAAAGCGUGGUGAAUGCAUAUACAACUAUUUCAGUGGUGAGUAACCCAUUCAAAGCCCACCAGACCUGCAGGAAUCUGAGUCUCCUUUCUUGGCUGUAACAGUAGCAGAGUGCUGAGAAUCAGGCAGGACUGUGCCCAUAGCUCAGUUCGAAAAGAUGUGCCAAAUUAGUAGGCAUAAUCAAGAAUGACAUGUGUAUGUUUGGUGGCCCUGCUUGGCAGGGGGGUUGGAGCUGCAUGAUCCUUGAGGUCCCUUCCAACCCGGGUCAUUCUGUGAUUCUAUGAUUCUGUGAUUGAAUAAGAGGCAAGAACGACUAAUCAGAUGCUAACUUAGCUGAUGCUGGCAUUACUGAAAGCCUGGGGACAUAGUCCAAGGAUAAAAACAUAACGUCUUAUCUAACCAAGGAGUCAUU